Molecule: small RNA, 931 nt
Filed under: Arabidopsis thaliana (thale cress)
Lineage: Eukaryota; Viridiplantae; Streptophyta; Magnoliopsida; Brassicales; Brassicaceae
Description: ATSL046610
Source: RNAcentral
UUUUUUUGAAUACCAGAAAGUUCUGGGCCAAAGCCCGUAAUCCUCCUAGGCCCGAAACCACAACAUGUAGUAUUAGAUUCGUCCCAAGCGUCACUCGAACCGGCAACAUUACUUAACUAAAGUCACCUUCUUUUUCUUUUGUUUGAUGGCUUUAACGAUCUCGACAGGUAUAAUUCCAUAUCCCUAUGGCUCAAUGGAGAUGGAAGGUGAUAUAUCUCUAUUGAGAGUUUCGUACUCAACACGCACGUCCUUUACGAGCACAUCUAUUAUUUUAAACUAGACUGUGAUUUCAUUUCAGAUAUAUACACUACAAUACUGAGAACUUGGUAAAGGACAAGCAAAAGAUAAUCAGUGGAUAAAGCUGUAAUAGAUUUCUUCUUCCUACUCUAAUAAGUAAUAAUAGCAACACUAGUCAACAAAAACAUAUUUUGAUAAUCAUUGGAUAAAGCUAUAAUGGAUCUACGCUCAUUAGAACCGCCAAUCUACUCGGCAUUUUUAUAACCUAAACAAGCUAUAAAAAAUGCAAUGUGAAUUUUCUUCCUUAUGAUUCUGUCAACUUUGGUUCAAUUAUAAGUAAUCUAAAACAGAACAUUGGUUCUGUAAUAUGAGUAUGAGAAGAUGACUGAAGAACCUGUCUGCUUAUCUCCAUAUUGACAGAAUCAUAAUACAGUGAUAGCUUUAUAGUUAUGAAUUUACAUAACCACAAAAGAUUUAUAUGAUUUAUACCUAUCAGCUACGAAUGGUAAAAGGUAACAACUUAAUGGGUUCUGCAAUUAGUUCAAGUUCUAGCAAAGCUUUUAGAGCAUCUCCAACCGGACUGCAAAACACCAAAUAUAGUGUUAAUAAUGCUCUAACCGAACGGUAUAACCAACACCAAAUUUAUUUUUUUAGUGUUUUGUGAACAGUAUUACACCAACAAAACACUUAAAAA